GACGAACGCUGGCGGCGUGCUUAACACAUGCCAGUCGAACGGAAAGGCCCUGCUUUUGUGGGGUGCUCGAGUGGCGAACGGGUGAGUAACACGUGAGUAACCUGCCCUUGACUUUGGGAUAACUUCAGGAAACUGGGGCUAAUACCGGAUAGGAGCUCCUGCUGCAUGGUGGGGGUUGGAAAGUUUCGGCGGUUGUGGAUGGACUCGCGGCUUAUCAGCUUGUUGGUGGGGUAGUGGCUUACCAAGGCUUUGACGGGUAGCCGGCCUGAGAGGGUGACCGGCCACAUUGGGCCUGAGAUACGGCCCAGACUCCUACGGGAGGCAGCAGUGGGGAAUAUUGCACAAUGGGCGGAAGCCUGAUGCAGCAACGCCGCGUGCGGGAUGACGGCCUUCGGGUUGUAAACCGCUUUCGCCUGUGACGAAGCGUGAGUGACGGUAAUGGGUAAAGAAGCACCGGCUAACUACGUG
RNAcentral lists this ribosomal RNA (468 nucleotides) under uncultured bacterium. RNAcentral describes it as "partial 16S ribosomal RNA". It matches the Rfam family "Bacterial small subunit ribosomal RNA", at positions 28 to 507 of the family's 1533-position model. The record is from RNAcentral.